UCGACCUGCCCAAAACAAAAUUCCCCACGUGCACCACCACCUCACCGAUCUGUCUUCCUCCCCAACCGGCGUAGUACGAGCUUCCUGGGGUGGAGCCAGUGGACAUCCCCACAGCGGAGCCGGUGUCGGGUCCCCAUAGCCUGGGAAACGAACGAGCUGCCGGCUGCGCCAUUGGUCGAGGCGCAUAGUUUCUUCUCGGGGAGUGCUGCUUGCCUUCUCCUCGAGCUCAUCCCCAGGUCCGACACCCCUCGACGCUGGCCGUCCCGGAGUUUCCCUCGUCGGCCCAGCAUAGGAUCUGCGGGGGAGAGCUGCUCCUCGAGGUCAUCCGGCAGGAGAGCUGCCCCUCGAGGUCAUCCGGCAGGAUUGCCGCCCAGCCUCACGACGGACAUGUCGGGCUGGUGGUCCAAUGUGAGGAUGAUGAUUCGGCACAGGCCAUGGACGAAGUUAUAAUUUGAAGCGCGUUUUAAUUAACACAGCCUUUGCUCAUACAGACAAAGGAGAAGUGUGGUGUACAGGUAGGGAUAUCGAAUGGUGAAACUAUAUACUUAAAAGCAUGGUAGCUUUCCAGCCAACAACAAUUGUUGGGGUAUGGCAAAUACUGGAUCACGGCAUUGCAGAAAAGCUAUAUGCUUUAAGUAAUUGUCCCUGUAUCAUAUCAGUUGAGAAAAGUUGUAUUUCCCUUUGAAAGAUGUUCAAGUAACUAAAGUAUUGUCCCUGGAACAUAUAUUUCAACAAGUUCUACUAUUUCGGUGACGCUUUCUAGCAUCUCAACUUUCAGAGUAGAGUAAUCUUGUUUUUAGUGUAUCUUGUGCUAAUUCAUCAUUGGAACUCAAUAGUGACAUGCUAUAUUCCGUAGCCAUGCCUAAAGUUCAGUCAAACGGAACAACUAAAAUCUGAUGUAUAAUUUCGACAAUGAUCGUGAGUGGCAGUGCAGGGAGAUCAGAGGAAGAUGGUGGCAGUGCAGGGAGAUCAGAGGCAGAUGGUGGGCGGCGGCGGCGGCGGCGGUGGCUAAUCUUACCCACGUUGAAACUAAUCACGAUGAGAGAAGGUAGUUCAGUUGUUUCAGAUAUCAGAGGCAGAUGGACGGCGGCUAAUCUGACCCACGUUGAAACUAAUCAUGAUGAGAGAAGGUAGUUUAGCUGUUUCAGGAGACAAGAUUGAUCUAGAUCUGAACGCUAGUGGGCUUUUAGUAUGGGCUUUUUAAUUAUAUUCUUUUCAUGUAUAUGUAAACGAUGGAUAGGGGUCUAAGUAUCAACGUGAAAGGUUGUGUACAGCGGUUGCAGGAAUCGGUCAAUAUUUGGUGUCGUGAACAAAAAAAGAAAGAUGAAUUGUUCAUACCAUGCAAAAAAAAAAACAGAUGAAUUGUUCAUUUUCUUUAUUUGAUGCAAAAAUAUAUAUAUCUUUAUUUUGACUUGUACAUGUGAAUCGGUUGGAUAUAUUGGGAAUGAAUAAAGUUUGUGAAUACGAAGCUA
This is a long non-coding RNA of Hordeum vulgare subsp. vulgare (domesticated barley), 1472 nucleotides long. RefSeq lists it as uncharacterized. The transcript has 5 exons. The record is from RefSeq and is a predicted model, not a curated record. Lineage: Eukaryota; Viridiplantae; Streptophyta; Magnoliopsida; Poales; Poaceae.